UCCUGCCGGACCUGACUGCUAUCGGAUUGAUACUAAGCCAUGCGAGUCAUUGUAGCAAUACAAGGCAGACGGCUCAGUAACACGUAGUCAACCUACCCUAUGGACAAGAAUAAUCUCGGGAAACUGGGCAUAAUUCUUGAUAGAUCAUAAUGCCUGGAAUGGUUUAUGGUUAAAAUGAUUCGUCGCCAUAGGAUGGGACUGCGGCCUAUCAGCUUGUUGGUGAGGUAAUGGCCCACCAAGGCGAUUACAGGUACGGGCUCUGAGAGGAGAAGCCCGGAGAUGGGUACUGAGACACGGACCCAGGCCCUAUGGGGCGCAGCAGGCGAGAAAACUUUGCAAUGUGCGAAAGCACGACAAGGUUAAUCCGAGUGAUUUCUGCUAAAGAAAUCUUUUGCCAGUCAUAAAACCACUGGUGAAUAAGGGGUGGGCAAGUUCUGGUGUCAGCCGCCGCGGUAAAACCAGCACCUCAAGUGGUCAGGAUGAUUAUUGGGCCUAAAGCAUCCGUAGCCGGCUUUGUUAGUUUUCGGUUAAAUCCAUGUGCUCAACGCAUGGGCUGCCGAAAAUACUGCAUAGCUAGGGAGUGGGAGAGGUAGACGGUACUCAGUAGGAAGGGGUAAAAUCCUUUGAUCUAUUGAUGACCACCUGUGGCGAAGGCGGUCUACCAGAACACGUUCGACGGUGAGGGAUGAAAGCUGGGGGAGCAAACCGGAUUAGAUACCCGGGUAGUCCCAGCUGUAAACGAUGCAGACUCGAUGAUGCAUUGGCAUAAUAGCCAAUGCAGUGUCGCAGGGAAGCCGUUAAGUCUGCCGCCUGGGAAGUACGUACGCAAGUAUGAAACUUAAAGGAAUUGGCGGGGGAGCACCACAAGGGUGAAGCCUGCGGUUCA
RNAcentral lists this ribosomal RNA (886 nucleotides) under uncultured marine group I thaumarchaeote. RNAcentral's name for it is "SSU rRNA". It matches the Rfam family "Archaeal small subunit ribosomal RNA", at positions 12 to 904 of the family's 1478-position model. Lineage: Archaea; Thermoproteati; Nitrososphaerota. The record is from RNAcentral.